UCAAUCUAAUGAAAAGACUGAUAUUCUACUUGCGCAGAGAGAAACAAAACUUUCUUAGAAAAUAUGAGGAACGUUCGAUGUUAUUCAAUCGAGAUAAGAAAGAGACAUAUCUUCGUAAUGCUAAACAGUUUCCUUUAGACGAACUUUAACGAUGAGAAUGAAGGAUAAUUAAAUCACUUCUGACACAGAGUCAGAAUAUAAUCGGAUUAUCUUAUGACUCCCACUAUAGUUGGGCGCGGCAAAUCACCGUGGCAAAUAAAGCACUUCAGGGUCUUUUCAAGUCCUUUGGACUGUCAAGUGCAGACGCAGAAGAAGACAACCGUUUGAAUUUUUCUUUGUCAUAAUCGAAGUGCUAAAUUGCAUAGAGUGUUAAUAUCAACUCAUAGAGGAAAGCUUGGCCUUCGAAAGAGGUGGAAAAAUGCUCGCGAGGCCAGCCAAUGUAAUGCGUGACGGUCAGGGACUCUAGCAUGGACAUAGAUCUUUUUUUAACAACACGAAGACGCAGACUGUUAUUAACAGUACACGGAUAUUAAGAGUUCUCGGAAUUAGUGGUGGUCUGAUCCGACGAGAAAGAAACCGACCAGAUUUCUAUCAAAGUUCAACGAGAAAGAUUUUUUUAAGAAUUCUUAAUUUUCGAGAUUAAACAUGAAUCAUCAUUGACUAUUUUUUUUACUGUUCAUAUUUUUUUAACAACACGAAGACGCAGACUGUUAUUAACAGUACACGGAUAUUAAGAGUUCUCGGAAUUAGCGGUGGUCUGAUCCGACGAGAAAGAAACCGACCAGAUUUCUAUCAAAGUUCAACGAGAAAGAUUUUUUUAAGAAUUCUUAAUUUUCGAGAUUAAACAUGAAUCAUCAUUGACUAUUUUUUUUACUGUUCAUCUUAAAUAUAUUAUGAUGUAUCUCUGGUUUUAUCCGAUUAGACGCUUUCAGCAAAUUGCGAAAAGUACUCCGCGAAUUUCACGUAUGUAACAAUGUCUGCUUAUUUCAAAUUUCUAAUUUAGAUUAUUGCAAUUAAUUUAUUAAUUAUAGUAAUCGUGCUAGAAAAACGAAUAUAAAUUGAUGACGUAGCUCACCGUAAAUGCAAAUGCAGAGCAAUGCGAGCGUAGUCGCGACGAUCCAUGAGACUCUCACGAACAUCUCGGAAAUGUGCCGCUGCCGAUCUACAAGGAACAACGUCUACCACCGCACUGCGCUCGUCUCUGAAGACACCGUCGAUCGACGCGAGAAGAUCCGCGCUUUCGCAUCGUCCUCGGGUGAUCGCUUUCUUAUAUACGGCGAUAGCAGCCGCGAAUGCCGCGCGACGCAGAGACGAUGAGGAUACGAGGACACAGAGAAGAGCGGGGCGAGGAAGAACACAUCACAUUUGGGAAGUGGUCGAAGGACAGGAAUUUCGUCGUCGUCAUCGUUGUCAUCGUGAUCUGAGGCAAAGGAUAAAAAAAACGGAACUGCGAAAAUAGAAACUGCUGGCCAAAAACGAGCGGUUGGUUAAUGUCCUACGACGGUCCUCAAGAUUAUUGCUGAUCACGUCUCACCCUCCAAGUGAGAUUUUUUAUUCACAGCAGAGGCAUUAAAGAGCGUGAUAUGCUUUCAAAGGAAGUCCUGAGAGAUACAAGGGUCAGAUAAUUUCGAGAAAAUGGCCCAAAGUAUCGUCUUUCAAAGAAGAAAUAUCCUUCAAGCAUCUUUGCAAUACAGAGAUACUUAAUUGCUGUCAGAAACCUGAAAAUUAAUCAUUUUGUAAAAUUUAUUGCAAUAUGUGAAAAUUCUGAAAUAACACAGGUGAUUAAUGAUAAUUCAUCCACGUGAAUCGCACGAGAAGCAUUCGUAAUUAAAGAUAUAAUCCUGAAUAGAACUUAUGAAAGAUCUGCCAAGCUCGGAAAUGCUAUGCGAAAUGGGAGGUCAUAAUAUGUCAUGAUAUAACGAUCUGCGGAAGAGAUGCAAAAAUGAAGAGGAAUGUUGGAACCUAAUCCUGCACAUUUCACGAUAGUAAACCUUGAAAACCUUAAUCCUGCGGUCCCUAAUGCGCUUUCUAACACAGAACAUCUGCGUCAGGCGCGUCAUUAUCUUACAAUCCGCAACAGAAAUGCGAAGACCGCGACACAACCGGAUCCAAGUUCAAUGUCAAUGGCCUAAGCGCGACGCGCUGGUGUCACUCGUCGACGAACUUACAAUCGAUACCUUCCUCGAGAACGAGUUUGUAAAGGUAACGAAGGGCAGGCGCGAAACAAAGAGUCUCUCGCUCGCAACGAUGAAGAGAAUCCACACAGCAGAAGUGUCCAAAAUAUAUCACAGGGAUAUCCUAAAGAUAUAUUUGGGAUAUGCGAUAUCUUCAAGAUAUCCUUAUGAUAUAUUUGGGACGUUCCUACUGUGUGGGAAUGUUAUCAAUCAUCAGUUCGCUCGGAUUUGUCACAGUGACCGACGCGGUUGCAAAACGAAAAAGAAGAAACGAGGAAACUUUACUUUUGUUUUCCUUGUUGAGAAGAAUUGAAGAUAUGUAUGCGUGACAGAUAUAUAAUAUAUAUGUAUCAUGUCGACAGCAACUAUCUUGUUGUUCUUGCGCCGAUAAAAUCGCUGAAAUUCCCGUUACAUCAUCGCGCAAGCGACAUAACGUGUGUAAAAUUCUCGCGUCUCACUUUACGAUAUCUCUAAUUCGCUUCCUGUAAUCUAUACUACUGAUAUAUCUAUAGCUACUGGUUUUUCCGUUAUAAAGCCCGCAACGAAUGUCGCGCGUCACGACGCGGAAGUUCUCGCUGAAGUUACCGAAGAAUUCUAAAAAUGCUCUCGGAGCAUGCGUUCUAAAAUUCAGUGAAAUAAUUUGGAAUUUAUCAGAUCAAUCGUUUUAUUACUGGAAUUACUGUAAUUAAUGUAUUUACGAAUGUAUUUACGAAUAAUACAUAGUAUCAGCGAACUUGAUAGAUGCGUGAAGAAUACGAAGAAAUAUUUUUCUAUCAUAAUAGCAUGAUAAUACUGUCAAAUGUGUCGAAAUCGAAGAAAAAUGUUCUAUCAAUUAAUCAAAUCUUGGAUUGAAGUGCGAAUAUCUCGACAGACGUUAAUGCUUUCCGAUUCCACACCGCGGAACUCUGAAUUGAUUACAUCAGAAAUGAGAAAGUACAUGUCAAAAAAUCUUGUGUUAUUUCUAAAUAAAGAUAUUCGUACGAAAGAACACUUUUCUGGUCGCUAAACAUACUUGUAAAAUGCUCCGACAAUCCUUUUCCGUUGACAGUCAAUAAAUUGUAAUAAAUUUGUAAUAAAUUUCAAAGUAUGUUACAAGUAUACUUGGACAAUCAGAAGUGUCCUUUCGUACAAAUAUUUUUUUAUCUGGAAAUUGUUACAAGAAUUUUGGACAUAUAUUUUCUCGCUUAUGACGUCAUCAAUCCAAAGUUUCGUAAAUAGUACUCAAACGCUUUCAUUUCCGAGAAAUUGGAUACGAAGAUUCGAUUGUGAGUUGAAGGUCGGUUUGUUACACUUGAAACUGAUAAUCGUUGCGUAAUGAUUCUGACGUGUAUAUUCUCUGAAAAAUAUCUCCAGUAUAAAAAUCAAUGUCUCGUUACGCUUAGAAGCGAAGUUUCAAUUGUAUUAUAUAUUGCAUUUUAUUUGUGUCGAUUGAUAUAGAAUUUUCUCUAACGACGCAGCUGAAUGUACAUAAAGAUACGCUAAGAUAAAAAUUAACAUUUACGUGUCGUAUGA
Molecule: long non-coding RNA, 3686 nt
Organism: Odontomachus brunneus
Lineage: Eukaryota; Metazoa; Arthropoda; Insecta; Hymenoptera; Formicidae
Exons: 3
Source: RefSeq, a predicted model, not a curated record